ACCGGGACAGCAGCGGCGUCCUGUACCUGAAAUCCGCUACAGCAGGGGUGAUGCCGGACCUGAGGGCUUUAAUUACGAAGCUGCCUUCUGUAAGUGGCGCUGAAGUCCGGGUCUUGCGCAACGGAAAUCCGCGAACCGUGUCAGGGCAGGAAUGCAGCAGCACUAAGCGGAACCUUUCGUGUGACGCGAGGCAGCCUGGGCCGAGCCGGCUGCAGAAGUAACGUUCGUGACGUCCGUUCGAGGGUCCGGUGCGCG
This 255-nucleotide signal recognition particle RNA is filed under the name uncultured Eubacterium sp. RNAcentral's name for it is "Bacterial large signal recognition particle RNA". It matches the Rfam family "Bacterial large signal recognition particle RNA". From Rfam's summary of the family: The signal recognition particle (SRP) is a universally conserved ribonucleoprotein involved in the co-translational targeting of proteins to membranes. Archaeal SRP consists of a 7S RNA and homologues of the eukaryotic SRP19 and SRP54 proteins. The record is from RNAcentral. Lineage: Bacteria; Bacillati; Bacillota; Clostridia; Eubacteriales; Eubacteriaceae.